RNAcentral lists this long non-coding RNA (882 nucleotides) under Helianthus annuus (common sunflower). RNAcentral describes it as "hypothetical non coding rna". The record is from RNAcentral. Lineage: Eukaryota; Viridiplantae; Streptophyta; Magnoliopsida; Asterales; Asteraceae.
UGGGCGUAUGUGGGUGUUCGACCAGAGAAGAGAAAGAAGGGGGAAACCCCUUCUCAAACCCUAAUCGACCAAAUUGGAUGGAUUUUGGCUGAAAUCAAACUUGCAUGAACAAGAUUCUCGAUUGUUCAACUCUGUAAAACACAUGGAAUCCCAAUUGACAUGGACUCAAGAAUAGAAGGCUAACGGAUCAAGGGUAAAUAAAGAAGCUAUGCACAACUCGGACACACGAUGUAUUGCACGUAUCUCUACCACUACUAUCGAAGAUAAGCAUGCAUUGAUCGAGCCCAAAAUUAAAGAUUGUACGGGAAGAACGGCCACAUAGUCUGAUUUAUGUAUUGUCUUGAAGCGUUACCUUAAUGUGGUUAUUGUUAAUCCCUUUUUUGUAAAUGUUUAUCAUUUGUAUUUGAGCUUUUAAAUAAGUAAUGGGUCUAAAUAAGAAAGAAACUUUUUGGGCUCAUAUUUUCCGCUGCGUCAUGUUUAAGUUCUUACAGGGAAUUGUUCAUUAUACGAACGGGUCAUGCCCGAAUUUUGUAAAUAAUAAUACUUAUUUGGAAUAAGAAUUAUGGGCGUUACAAGUUGGUAUCAGAGCCCUGGUUUGAGGGAAAUCAAGUAUGAGGAGGUAAAUACUUGAACUCAAACCUACGUGCUCUUGAAACCAGGAACCCGUACAAUCCAGGACUCGAUCAAGAUCUAAAGGUAAAAGCGAAUAUAAGUAUGUAUUUAUGCAUGUGAAUAAAGAAACUAACGGUUUUGUAUGUGCAAGGUAAGCAUAAGUGUUUGAAAAGAAUGGUCCGUGGAUGCAGAAUAAGAUGAAUACUAAGCAGGCAAAGAUGCAAAUAGGCAAAUUAACCCCAGGUACACGCUAUUAAUAUGUAUGGGUAC